RNAcentral lists this long non-coding RNA (452 nucleotides) under Salmo salar (Atlantic salmon). Its description in RNAcentral is "lncRNA (ENSSSAG00000109232.1)". The record is from RNAcentral. Lineage: Eukaryota; Metazoa; Chordata; Actinopteri; Salmoniformes; Salmonidae.
GUAAGAAUAGGAAAUAUGAAAUACACAAAUAAAGUAAAUAAAUAAAUAAUCAUGCUAUAUACAGGGUCAGUACCAUAUUAACAACGUGCAGAGAUACUGGAGUGAUGGAGGUAGAUAUGUAUAGGGGGAAGGGGACAGGGAUACUGGAGUGAUGGAGGUAGAUAUGUAUAGGGGACAGGGAUACUGGAGUGAUGGAGGUAGAUGUGUAUAGGGGACAGGGAUACUGGAGUGAUGGAGGUAGAUAUGUAUAGGGGGAAGGAGACAGGGAUACUGGAGUGAUGGAGGUAGAUAUGUAUAGGGGACAGGGAUACUGGAGUGAUGGAGGUAGAUAUGUAUAGGGGGAAGGGGACAGGGAUACUGGAGUGAUGGAGGUAGAUGUGUAUAGGGGGAAGGGGACAGGGAUACUGGAGUGAUGGAGGUAGAUAUGUAUAGGGGACAGGGAUACUGGAGUG